GUAUAGGCGAUAGAAAUUUUUACCCUGGCACAAUAGACAUAGCACCGUAAGGGAAAGAUGAAAGAACUGUAUCAAGCACUAAAAAGCAAAGACAAGCCCUUAUACCUUCUGCAUAAUGUAUUAACUAGAAAUAACUAUACACAGAGAACUUUAGCCAAGUCCCCCGAAACCAGAUGAACUACCCAAGAACAGCUGAAAGAGCACACUCACCUAUGUGGCAAAAUAGUGGGAAGAUGCAUGAGUAGCGGUCACAAGCCUACCAAGCCUGUUGAUAGCUGGUUGUCCAAGAUAGAAUCUUAGUUCAGCUUUAAACUUACCCACAGAAUUACUUAAUCUCCCUGUAAGUUUAACUGUUAGUCUAAAGAGGGACAGCUCUUUAGACCCUAGGAAACAACCUUCCUACAGAGAGUAAAAAAUAUUACCACCAUAGUUGGCCCAAAAGCAGCCACCGAUUAAGAAAGCGUUUAAGCUCAACAGCUAACUAUCUUAAAUUCUAAUCAGUCUACUGAACUCCUAACAUCACAUUGGACUAAUCUAUUACUUAAUAGAAGCAAUAAUGUUAAUGUAAGUAACAUGAAGACAUUCUCCAUUGCAUAAGCUUACAUCAGACCAGAAUAACCCACUGACAGUUAACAGCCUAAUAUUAAUAACCAAUAUAAUAAGCACCCUAUUAUUUACACUGUUAACCCAACACAGGUAUGCUCUAAGGAGAGAUUACAAAAAGUAAAAGGAAUUCAGCAAAUCUUACCCCGCUUGUUUACCAAAAACAUCACCUCUAGCAUUACCAGUAUUAGAGUCACUGCCUGCCCAGUGACAUAUGUUCAACAGCCGCGGUAUCCUGACCGUGCAAAGGUAGCAUAAUCACUUGUUCCCUAAAUAGGGACUUGUAUGAAUGGCCAUAUGAAGGUUCAGCUGUCUCUUACUUUUAAUCAGUGAAAUUGACCUAUUCGUGAAGAGGCGGAUAUAAACAAAUAAGACGAGAAAACCCUAUGGAGCUUUAAUUCAUUAAUGCAAAUAAAAACUCAAACAAGCCUACAGGCCCUAGCCUACUAUUCCUGCAUUAAAAAAUUUGGUAGGGGUGAACUUGGAGCAUAAUUCAACCUCCAAACAACCUAAACUAAGAUCGCACUAGUCUUAGUGAGUUAAUACACAUUGACCCAAUAAUUUGAUCAACGGAAUAAGUUACCUUAGGGAUAGCAGCGCAAUCCCAUUCUAGAAUCAGUAUUGACAAUAGAGUUUACAACCUCGAUGUUGGAUCAGGACAUCCUAACAGUGUAGCCGCUAUUAAGGGUUCGUUUAGCAGUAGGGACGGGGGUUCUACAACUAAGUGAGUAACAUCCUACCUGCUAUAUACCUCUUUAAUAUGUGGGUAUAUCCUCUCAACUGUAUCUCUAGCUCCUUGGAGGAAGCAGGUUUGAUAUAAGAGAAAUGAAAAUAUGUAAAUGGAAGAUUAAGGUCUGGUUGAGGUGUAACAAUUUUUAUUCUGUUUUCAGUCCAUAUUC
Molecule: ribosomal RNA, 1502 nt
Filed under: Homo sapiens (human)
Lineage: Eukaryota; Metazoa; Chordata; Mammalia; Primates; Hominidae
Description: Bacterial large subunit ribosomal RNA
Rfam family: Bacterial large subunit ribosomal RNA
Source: Rfam by way of RNAcentral